GUGUCAGCAGCCGCGGUAAUACGUAGGGUGCGAGCGUUAAUCGGAAUUACUGGGCGUAAAGCGUGCGCAGGCGGUUUCGUAAGCUGGAGGUGAAAUCCCCGGGCUUAACCUGGGAAUGGCCUUCAGGACUGCGAGGCUAGAGUGCGGCAGAGGGAGGUGGAAUUCCACGUGUAGCAGUGAAAUGCGUAGAUAUGUGGAGGAACACCGAUGGCGAAGGCAGCCUCCUGGGCCAGCACUGACGCUCAUGCACGAAAGCGUGGGGAGCAAACAGGAUUAGAAACCCCCGUAGUCC
RNAcentral lists this ribosomal RNA (292 nucleotides) under uncultured bacterium. Its description in RNAcentral is "partial 16S ribosomal RNA". It matches the Rfam family "Bacterial small subunit ribosomal RNA", at positions 505 to 796 of the family's 1533-position model. The record is from RNAcentral.